CCUACGGGAGGCAGCAGUGAGGAAUAUUGGACAAUGGGCGCAAGCCUGAUCCAGCCAUGCCGCGUGCAGGAUGACGGUCCUAUGGAUUGUAAACUGCUUUUAUACAGGAAGAAACACCUCUACGUGUAGAGACUUGACGGUACUGUAAGAAUAAGGAUCGGCUAACUCCGUGCCAGCAGCCGCGGUAAUACGGAGGAUCCAAGCGUUAUCCGGAAUCAUUGGGUUUAAAGGGUCCGUAGGCGGUUUAGUAAGUCAGUGGUGAAAGCCCAUCGCUCAACGGUGGAACGGCCAUUGAUACUGCUAGACUUGAAUUAUUAGGAAGUAACUAGAAUAUGUAGUGUAGCGGUGAAAUGCUUAGAGAUUACAUGGAAUACCAAUUGCGAAGGCAGGUUACUACUAAUUGAUUGACGCUGAUGGACGAAAGCGUGGGUAGCGAACAGGAUUAGAUACCCUGGUAGUCCACGCCGUAAACGAUGGAUACUAGCUGUUGGGAGCAAUCUCAGUGGCUAAGCGAAAGUGAUAAGAUCCCNCCGUGGUAGGUAGAACGACGUAGUUAGUUAACGUACAANAGAGUUAGACGCGUUGAGAGNGCGACGGACGACGACGAGGGAGGAGG
Molecule: ribosomal RNA, 616 nt
Filed under: uncultured bacterium
Lineage: Bacteria
Description: bacterial SSU rRNA
Rfam family: Bacterial small subunit ribosomal RNA (bases 1-532)
Source: RNAcentral